This 714-nucleotide ribosomal RNA is filed under the name Serinicoccus sp. CVD055. RNAcentral describes it as "bacterial SSU rRNA". It matches the Rfam family "Bacterial small subunit ribosomal RNA", at positions 336 to 1061 of the family's 1533-position model. Lineage: Bacteria; Bacillati; Actinomycetota; Actinomycetes; Micrococcales; Ornithinimicrobiaceae. The record is from RNAcentral.
UUCCUACGGGAGGCAGCAGUGGGGAAUAUUGCACAAUGGGCGCAAGCCUGAUGCAGCGACGCCGCGUGCGGGAUGACGGCCUUCGGGUUGUAAACCGCUUUCAGCUCUGACGAAGCUUUUGUGACGGUAGGAGCAGAAGAAGCACCGGCUAACUACGUGCCAGCAGCCGCGGUAAUACGUAGGGUGCGAGCGUUGUCCGGAAUUAUUGGGCGUAAAGAGCUUGUAGGCGGCUUGUCGCGUCUGCUGUGAAAGCCCGGGGCUUAACCCCGGGUCUGCAGUGGGUACGGGCAGGCUAGAGUGUGGUAGGGGAGACUGGAAUUCCUGGUGUAGCGGUGGAAUGCGCAGAUAUCAGGAGGAACACCGAUGGCGAAGGCAGGUCUCUGGGCCAUUACUGACGCUGAGAAGCGAAAGCGUGGGGAGCGAACAGGAUUAGAUACCCUGGUAGUCCACGCCGUAAACGUUGGGCGCUAGGUGUGGGUCCCAUUCCACGGGGUCCGUGCCGCAGCUAACGCAUUAAGCGCCCCGCCUGGGGAGUACGGCCGCAAGGCUAAAACUCAAAGGAAUUGACGGGGGCCCGCACAAGCGGCGGAGCAUGCGGAUUAAUUCGAUGCAACGCGAAGAACCUUACCAAGGCUUGACAUACACCGGACGACUGCAGAGAUGUGGUUUCCCUUUGUGGCUGGUGUACAGGUGGUGCAUGGCUGUCGUCAGCUC